RNAcentral lists this ribosomal RNA (543 nucleotides) under Qianguimon splendidum. RNAcentral describes it as "partial 16S ribosomal RNA". It matches the Rfam family "Bacterial large subunit ribosomal RNA", at positions 1831 to 2625 of the family's 2925-position model. Lineage: Eukaryota; Metazoa; Arthropoda; Malacostraca; Decapoda; Potamidae. The record is from RNAcentral.
GUUUAUUUGGAGAUAUAAAUAAUUUGGCCUGCCCCCUGAUUAUAAAUUUAAGGGCCGCAGUAUUAUAACUGUGCAAAGGUAGCAUAAUCAUUAGGUUUUUAAUUGGAAUCUGGUAUGAAUGGUCGCACAAAAGAAUAACUCUCUUUAUAUUAAAUUUUGAAUUUAACUUUUAAGUGAAAAGGCUUAAAUGAACUAAAGGGACGAUAAGACCCUAUAAAACUUCACAUUGUAAUUAAAUUUUAUUAAUUUUAAUAAAUAAAGAUUUAAUUUAAUUAUUUGUUAGGCUGGGGAGGCACAGAUAAAUGUUAUAUUAACUGUUUGAUAAUUAUACAAUUAUUAGUGGUGUAUAAUAUGAUCCUUUAUUAAGAUUAAUAAAUUAAGUUACUUUAGGGAUAACAGCGUAAUUUCUUUUGAGAGUUCUUAUCGAAAAAGAAGAUUGCGACCUCGAUGUUGAAUUAAAUAUUCUAUAUAAUGAAGAGGUUAUACAAGAAGGUCUGUUCGACCUUUAAAAUUUUACAUGAUUUGAGUUCAAACCGGCGUGAG